ACAUCCAAAGAUAGAUAAAAUCUGAUCUUUAAAGGUAGGUUCAAAUUUAAUUUGAAUGGGUUACCAUAUAUGGAUAAGGUUUGACCUUAUCCAUAGACCUUGCCGCCCACUUCUCUUUAUUCCCCUUCUUUUGUGCUACAAAAGGAGGAAUAUUUUUGUCAUGGGGAAUCAGAUGAGAUCUAGUUUACCAUAAGAAAGAAAGAUGGUUUGGG
This 212-nucleotide long non-coding RNA is filed under the name Elaeis guineensis (African oil palm). Its description in RNAcentral is "long non-coding RNA (EGUI_LNC040388)". Lineage: Eukaryota; Viridiplantae; Streptophyta; Magnoliopsida; Arecales; Arecaceae. The record is from RNAcentral.